Molecule: ribosomal RNA, 450 nt
Filed under: uncultured bacterium
Lineage: Bacteria
Description: partial 16S ribosomal RNA
Rfam family: Bacterial small subunit ribosomal RNA
Source: RNAcentral
GUGGGGAAUUUUGGACAAUGGGCGCAAGCCUGAUCCGGCAAUGCCGCGUGCAGGAAGAAGGCCUUCGGGUUGUAAACUGCUUUUGUACGGAACGAAACGGUCCGGGUUAAUACCCUGGGCUAAUGACGGUACCGUAAGAAUAAGCACCGGCUAACUACGUGCCAGCAGCCGCGGUAAUACGUAGGGUGCAAGCGUUAAUCGGAAUUACUGGGCGUAAAGCGUGCGCAGGCGGUUUUGUAAGACAGGCGUGAAAUCCCCGGGCUCAACCUGGGAAUUGCGCUUGUGACUGCAAGGCUGGAGUGCGGCAGAGGGGGAUGGAAUUCCGCGUGUAGCAGUGAAAUGCGUAGAUAUGCGGAGGAACACCGAUGGCGAAGGCAAUCCCCUGGGCCUGCACUGACGCUCAUGCACGAAAGCGUGGGGAGCAAACAGGAUUAGAUACCCUAGUAGUCC